GCCCAACUGAUGAGAGCAGCCCAACACUUGGCUUUUUAGGGUUUCACCUCUUUCUCUCUCAUGAGUCCCUCACUCCCUCUCUUUCUCCUCCCCAUCAUUCACCUAUUUCUCUCAUUUCAAACUCAGGCCCUCUCAUUUCGAGGAGCAACGAGAAGACCUAUGUUCUGUUGGUUGUUGUUUUGGUGGUUAACUUGAGCAACGAUUGCGUUUAUCUUGAAAUGAGCAACUUGACCGGCUGCUUCAUACAAAAGCUCUCAAGCGGCGUCAUUUUUGGGCGGAGGUGUAACCGGCGGUGACGAAACUCUUGGUGAAGGUCCGUUUGGUCUACCGUUGCUCGAAAACCCACUGCGGUUCGACCAUUACAAACCCACCUCUCAUCUUCCUCUUUUCAAAAUGAUUUUCCCUAAAGACCUUACUACUCCUUCAAUGGUGGACAGAGAAUUUCGAUGAUGGGAUGGAUUUCCCUUACUUAGACCCGCCAUUGAUAUGCUACUUUGGAGCAGUUCAAAAGGAAUUUCUACCAAGUGUGAGAGUUCUAGAGCAUUAAAUGGACCCUGAUAUAUCUCAGGGUGGAAAAUGAUGCAAUGGAAUCCACCUGAAAUCGGGCGGGCUCGCGGUGGACCGGUGUUCAAUGUGGCGAUUUCGCACAUUCGGUUAGGAGGCAGGGCACCGGUUAUUGCUCAAGAAUUGGAUUCUGCAAAAUUUUCAGAAGUUAGAGAUGCUCUAGAUGAUAAAUGCUAGUCCCUUGUAAAUAUCAUUUUAGUCAUGUGAUACCAAUAUGCCAAUUUCUAAAAAAAAAUCCGAAGACUCUCAAACACUCAUAAUUUACGUAGAGGCUUUGUAACAAUGUGGGAUACAUUUAUUUACUUAUUUGAACUAAUUCUUUUGCAUGAUGCAAAAAUUGAAGGUUUAAAGUCCAGAAUUGAAUCAUUUGUGUUCACUGAUACAUAAAUUGAUAUGUUCCGGGAUGAGAUAGAAAAAGAAGAGGCCAGCAAGCUGCAAACAGAAGUUUUAGAUGUCACAAUCUCUGUGAACGAGUAUGAGGCUGCAAAUGUUCAUAAAUGUCAGCCUGCUGUUAGAACUGAGAGUGAUCCUGGUGAACAGAAUCUUCAGGAAGUUAACGAGAGAGAAGAAAGGGGUGACAAUGCUCUUGAUUGCUGCCGUUACUACUGGCCUGCUACUGUUUGUGCUUAUAAUGUAUUUCCUUACUAAAUUAUGUAAUCAAUAGCAUUUUGGACUUCUCAAUAGUAGAGUUUAUAAUUAGCAUAUAAAAUUGGAUUUGGUGUAUAUGUUAUGUUUGAUAAUAUGUUUGUGGCAUGAAAUAUUUGGGUUUGUUAUAAAUUAUUAUAAUAA
Molecule: long non-coding RNA, 1353 nt
Organism: Chenopodium quinoa (quinoa)
Lineage: Eukaryota; Viridiplantae; Streptophyta; Magnoliopsida; Caryophyllales; Amaranthaceae
Exons: 3
Source: RefSeq, a predicted model, not a curated record